This 1926-nucleotide long non-coding RNA is filed under the name Ornithorhynchus anatinus (platypus). RNAcentral describes it as "lncRNA (ENSOANG00000044306.1)". Lineage: Eukaryota; Metazoa; Chordata; Mammalia; Monotremata; Ornithorhynchidae. The record is from RNAcentral.
UGUCGCCCCUGCCCGACCCGGACUAGCCUGGGUGACAGGCGAGGCCGAAUCCCGCCCUCGGCCCCGCACCGUCGAGCCGUGGAGGCGGACUCCCCUCCCUCGGCUCGCUCCGCUCCGUCCAGGGGGGCUGCUCAGUGCGCCCCCUCCAGCAGCCGGGGACGGAGUCCCGACUCCCCCGCCCCGCCGCCGCCGCCGCCACGCGUCCCCCAGCCCCGUGCCUUCCCCGCCACACUCACGAGCCCGUGCCGCCGCCGCUGCCGCCGCUGCCGUCGACGCCGCGUCCCGGGGGCUGGCUUCCCCCCCGCCUGGGGUAGGGGUGAGAACCUCCCUCCGACCCCAGCCGGCGAGGCCGGGCUCCGGCGGGACACACGGGGGGAGGCGGCCCCGGCCAAGCCGCCGAACGGGCGAUCCGUCCGGGGGGGGGGGGGGGGGGAAGAGAGACGGGGUCGAGAGGGCGGGAGCAGGAACAGGAGCCGCCGCCUCCGCUGCCGCCGAAGCGGGUGCAGCAGCAGCAGCAGGAGGAGGAGAACGACGACGACGACGAGGAAUCCCAGGAAUGAGGGCGAGAGCAGAGCUGGCAGGCAACUCGCUCGCCCGCCCACUCUUGCCCGGCUUUCCCUCCUUCCCUUUUCCGCCCCGCCCCGCACAGGUAGAGACGAGGCUGGACGAGAAGGUGCGGGCGGGGAGGGGAGGAAGGAAGAGGAGGAGGGAAAGAGGAACAGCAGAGCCGCUCGGGCCUGCCCACCUCGGGUCUGGGAUGAGCUCCGGGGUGCGGCCCCCAACUACAGGAGAGCUUCAGGAGAACAUUCGGCCGCUUUCCAGACCUUCAACGGCGACCCGAACGAUCGAAGCAGCGUGAUGUGGUGGAUAGCGCGCGGGUUGGGGAGUCACAGGUCAUGGGUUCUAAUCCCGCCUCCGUCACUCGUCUGCUGCGUGACCUAGGGCAAGGCACUGCACGUCUCUGGACCUCGGUUCCCUCUUCUGUCAAAAGGAGGUUAAGACUGUGAGCCCCACGUGGGACAGGGACUGUGUCCCACCCGAUCGGCUUGGAUCCACCCCAGCGCUCAGCACAGUGCCUGACACGUAAUAACAAAUACCCUUAUUAUUAUCUCGAUAUAUGUUUUGGUCAUAAAAGCACAGCAAAUUAAGUAGCACUAUUUAAUAAUAAUGAUGAUGACGAUGGCAUUUGUUCAGUGCUGUUCUAAGCGCUGGGGUAGAUGCAAGGUAAUCUGUCGUCCCACGUGAGGCUCCUGGUCUUCAUCCCCAUUUUACAGAUGAGCGAACUGAGGCACAGAGAAGGAGAAGUGAAGUGACUCGCCCAAGGUCGCGCAGCAGACAAGUGGUGGAGCCGGGAUUAGAACCCCCGUCCUCUGACUCCCAGUCCUGUGCUCUUUCCACUAAGCUACACCGCUUCUCUAUUUGUGAACUUAUUUGGCAAAAGUGAAGAAAAUAUGGAUUACUAAUAAAAUAUUAUGAGUUGUAACAAUUAAUAUUAACCUGUAUACUGUGAGCCCCUUGUGAGACGGAGACUGUGUCUGACCUGAUUAUCUUGUAACUACCCUAGCACUUAAAACUGCUUGAUGGCACGUAGUAAGCGCUUAACGAAUACCGCAAUGAUUCAUUAUAAUUACACAUUUUGAAAAGACAAUUGUCCUCGCCAAAAGCCUUGCCUACAUUGAUCUUAUGCUCAUCUGAGUUCAGACACUUAAGCACAUCUAAAUUUAACUGUCUGACUUAAACUCUUACAAAGUUCACUGCUCGUGGCAGCUGAUCUCGGUUUCAUUUCUGCCUGUCAGUAUCCUCCUUUUCCCAAAGCUUCUGCUCCAAGAGCCACCCGAUUGCUGUAUGCCAGGCAAUGUGGCUUCCCAACAGAUUACUGGUCUUUUGCAUAAUUUGAAAUCUGCACUGAGGUCAUGAUGGACUGUA